UACGUAGGGUGCAAGCGUUAAUCGGAAUUACUGGGCGUAAAGCGUGCGCAGGCGGCUUUGCAAGACAGAUGUGAAAUCCCCGGGCCUAACCUGGGAACUGCAUUUGUGACUGCAAGGCUGGAGUGCGGCAGAGGGGGAUGGAAUUCCGCGUGUAGCAGUGAAAUGCGUAGAUAUGCGGAGGAACACCGAUGGCGAAGGCAAUCCCCUGGGCCUGCACUGACGCUCAUGCACGAAAGCGUGGGGAGCAAACAGG
This 253-nucleotide ribosomal RNA is filed under the name uncultured bacterium. RNAcentral's name for it is "partial 16S ribosomal RNA". It matches the Rfam family "Bacterial small subunit ribosomal RNA", at positions 524 to 776 of the family's 1533-position model. The record is from RNAcentral.